This 1151-nucleotide long non-coding RNA is filed under the name Papio anubis (olive baboon). RNAcentral describes it as "lncRNA (ENSPANG00000044723.1)". Lineage: Eukaryota; Metazoa; Chordata; Mammalia; Primates; Cercopithecidae. The record is from RNAcentral.
AGCUGGUAUUGGUUACUACCUACUUCUACUACCCAUUCUGUAUUCCUGUUGCCUUCAGCAAGCACCUAAACAGUAUGUGUAUAUAUGUGUAUAUAUAUACACACAUUUUUUUUUUUUUUUUUUUUUGCCAGGUGGAGUGACCCAACUCUUCAUUCCUGACGGGUCUGGACCAUUUGCAGUCCUGCCUGAAUUGGGCUGUUGUAGUUUCCCAUUGACCUUAAUCACAGGACUUGGUAAUACUAAGAGACACCCUAAUGAAUCCUCUGUAUUCCAUGCAUAUUCUUCCUUACCUCAGUUGUGGAGUAGUAGACUGAUUUCAUGUUGAUAGUCCUGGUCCAUCACCCCAGCCAACACUGCAACUCCCUUCUUAGCCUAUUGACUUAAAGAUAGGAGGAGCCCCAGGUGUCCAGGUGGCAACCUUAACCUACAGUUUAAUGGAUUCAUUUUUAUGUCUCCUGGUGGCAGUUUUCUCCCUCUGGAACUAAGACCUCUAGGCCAGCAGAAAAUAAUGUCAUGGGAACAAGAAACAAAAAUUUUGCUAGUGGAUCACAAUGCCUUCACUUUAAGGGGUGAUGGUGAGUGGUGCCACUUCCACUUCCACCCUUUGAUUCCUGGACCCAUGAAUCCUGGUUAUGGGAGAAACAAUACCAUAUAUUGGAAGCUGAUUCAGAGCAUACACAGACUUCUGGAGAAAUUUGCCUCAGCCCUGAAAAGUAUUGUCACCUGGUAGGCUUUGUAAUUGUCACUUCAGAAGGCCAUUCCACCGUUCCUUCAAUCCAGCUGCUUCACGAUGAUGGGGAACAUGGUAGCAGCAGCUCCAAUGGCUUCUAUGGGGGUUCUGCAAGCUGCAAAAUGUGUCUAUGCCAAUUACGCAUUGUGGCACUGGGGGAAUGACCACAAGAUGAGUCUGGGGAUCCGCUGGACUCACCGGUUGAGAGAAGAAACACUUAUGAAAAUAUUGUACAUAAAAAUCUCUCUACAACAGUCUACCUAUGUUCAGUAUGGUUACAUGUUCACAUCUCUGACUGCAAUCAAUAUAUGGAUAAUUAUCACUUUACCAAAGACCAUAUUCAAACAUUUGCUUGAUUAUUCUUUCUUCAAUAUGACUACUGUUCAAUAUGCUCUCAAUUGAAACAUCCCACACAUAGUUA